AUAUACACAAAGGAGUGCUUCGGCUGAGAUCGCAACUGCGAAAUCCUCGAACCUGAUCUAGUUAAAACUAGCGUAGGAAUUGUGUGCUUUAUAGAA
RNAcentral lists this non-coding RNA (96 nucleotides) under Streptococcus suis. RNAcentral describes it as "TPP sequence". It matches the Rfam family "TPP riboswitch aptamer (THI element)". From Rfam's summary of the family: Vitamin B(1) in its active form thiamin pyrophosphate (TPP) is an essential coenzyme that is synthesised by coupling of pyrimidine and thiazole moieties in bacteria. The previously detected thiamin-regulatory element, thi box was extended, resulting in a new, highly conserved RNA secondary structure, the THI element, which is widely distributed in eubacteria and also occurs in some archaea. The record is from RNAcentral. RNAcentral also lists the same sequence under 3 other names. Lineage: Bacteria; Bacillati; Bacillota; Bacilli; Lactobacillales; Streptococcaceae.